CUCAGGACGAACGUGGCGGCGUGCUUAACACAUGCAAGUCGAGCGGUAAGGCCUUUCGGGGUACACGAGCGGCGAACGGGUGAGUAACACGUGGGUGAUCUUGCCCUGCACUUCGGGAUAAGCCUGGAAACUGGGUCUAAUACCGGAUAUGACCUCCUAUCGCAUGGUGGGUGGUGGAAAGAUUUAUCGGUGCAGGAUGGGCCCGCGGCCUAUCAGCUUGUUGGUGGGGUAAUGGCCUACCAAGGCGACGACGGGUAGCCGCCUGAGAGGGUGACCGGCCACACUGGGACUGAGACACGGUCCAGACUCCUACGGGAGGCAGCAGUGGGGAAUAUUGCACAAUGGGCGAAAGCCUGAUGCAGCGACGCCGCGUGAGGGAUGACGGCCUUCGGGUUGUAAACCUCUUUCAGCAGGGACGAAGCGCAAGUGACGGU
RNAcentral lists this ribosomal RNA (434 nucleotides) under Rhodococcus sp. MB-08. RNAcentral describes it as "bacterial SSU rRNA". It matches the Rfam family "Bacterial small subunit ribosomal RNA", at positions 23 to 476 of the family's 1533-position model. The record is from RNAcentral. Lineage: Bacteria; Bacillati; Actinomycetota; Actinomycetes; Mycobacteriales; Nocardiaceae.